This 314-nucleotide ribosomal RNA is filed under the name uncultured bacterium. RNAcentral's name for it is "partial 16S ribosomal RNA". It matches the Rfam family "Bacterial small subunit ribosomal RNA", at positions 126 to 443 of the family's 1533-position model. The record is from RNAcentral.
AAAAAAAAAAUGGGGGAUAACGUCCGGAAACGGGCGCUAAUACCGCAUACGUCCUGAGGGAGGAAGUGGGGGAUCUUCGGACCUCACGCUAUCAGACUAGCCUAGGUCGGAUUAGCUAGUUGGUGGGGUAAAGGCCUACCACGGCGACGAUCCGUAACUGGUCUGAGAGGAUGAUCAGUCACAAUGGCACUGAGACACGGUACAGAAACAUACGGGAGGAAGCAGUGGGGAAUAUUGGACAUGAGGCGACAGCCUGAUCCAGCCAUGCCUCGUGUGUGAAGAAAGACGGCGACUUCCAAAGUAUACACAAGGGG